GUUUGCUGUUAGUUUGUUUAGAGGCAAAACAUUGACAUACUGUGGUGGAUUUAUAAUUUUCUAUUUGUACUUUUUGACCAGCCAGGUCAAUUAAGAACAACAGCUUCUUAUUUAUAAUGAUGGGUUGGCUGGCUGGUGUUUGGACUGCAAUCAGAAACGGAGAGAACCCCCGUCUUCAACAAAACAUGCAUUUCAGGGACAGAGAGGGGAGAAGGAGAGAGGCGUCGCUCUGAAAGGUCAGAGGGCGUGCAGCCAGGCAGCACAGCUCGUGGACACAGCACGAACACCACCCAGUGACAUUUACAAGCACAGGAACAAAGGCUGUAGGCUGCUGAUGAAUACUAAUAAAGAACCAGGUGUAUCAAACCUCCGAGGGGCCAUAUUCUGACGGGCAGGACAACAGGAAUCUCAUCACCACUGCUACCUUCAAGUACUAGGCUAAUAACACUCCCACUAUGCUCAUCUGGUCCACACUGUUGGCCUGGGAUGUUAGGCUUUUCCCUGGUCUCCCCUGAAGAGAGUCCUAUUAUGGAUCAAUGUGAAAUAGGUUAGUUUCUGGAAACCGUGACCCAGCAUGCUGAGGAUUCAUUUGGGGAAUUGUGACACACAGGGGAAGGCUCAUGUAUCACAAACAAACAUUGAUAUUGGGUAUCAAGACAG
This is a long non-coding RNA of Oncorhynchus tshawytscha (Chinook salmon), 660 nucleotides long. Lineage: Eukaryota; Metazoa; Chordata; Actinopteri; Salmoniformes; Salmonidae. The record is from Ensembl.